GUCCAUCAUUGGAAGGAAAGUGAUAUGGAGUUAAAGUUGAUUUUGGAAAUGUAUAGACGUGAAUUUACUGAUUCAAGAAGUUUAUAAGAUCUGCAAGGAUGUCAUGGAAGCCAGAGACUAAGAAUAUAAGGCUUGGGCCCAAGUUCAAACUUUGAAAUCCUCUCUUGAUGAGAGCAACUUGGAAUUGCGAGUCAAGAUUGCAAAUGAAGCUGAGGCCAUAUCCCAACAAAGGCUUGCUACAGCAAAAGCUGAGAUUGUUAGGCUGAGGCAGAAAU
Juglans microcarpa x Juglans regia is the source of this 275-nucleotide long non-coding RNA. RefSeq lists it as uncharacterized. The record is from RefSeq and is a predicted model, not a curated record. The transcript has 2 exons. NCBI's taxonomy places the organism in Eukaryota, Viridiplantae, Streptophyta, Magnoliopsida, Fagales, Juglandaceae.